RNAcentral lists this ribosomal RNA (449 nucleotides) under Yersinia enterocolitica. RNAcentral describes it as "partial 23S ribosomal RNA". It matches the Rfam family "Bacterial large subunit ribosomal RNA", at positions 1767 to 2213 of the family's 2925-position model. The record is from RNAcentral. Lineage: Bacteria; Pseudomonadati; Pseudomonadota; Gammaproteobacteria; Enterobacterales; Yersiniaceae.
CCGAAGCCAGUCGCAGAUACCAGCUGGCUGCAACUGUUUAAUAAAAACACAGCACUGUGCAAACACGAAAGUGGACGUAUACGGUGUGACGCCUGCCCGGUGCUGGAAGGUUAAUUGAUGGGGUCAGCCGCAAGGCGAAGCUCUUGAUCGAAGCCCCAGUAAACGGCGGCCGUAACUAUAACGGUCCUAAGGUAGCGAAAUUCCUUGUCGGGUAAGUUCCGACCUGCACGAAUGGCGUAAUGAUGGCCAGGCUGUCUCCACCCGAGACUCAGUGAAAUUGAACUCGCUGUGAAGAUGCAGUGUACCCGCGGCAAGACGGAAAGACCCCGUGAACCUUUACUAUAGCUUGACACUGAACAUUGAGCCUUGAUGUGUAGGAUAGGUGGGAGGCAUUGAAGUGUGGACGCCAGUCUGCAUGGAGCCAACCUUGAAAUACCACCCUUUAAUGU